CACCGGCCGGAGCUCGCGCCCCGCGUCCUGCGUCCUGCGCAGGGACUCUACCCAGCCCGCCGCAAGGUCACCUCGAGGCACCUGCACCACCGGCCCCAGUGCUUUUGCAGCCACGUGUAGAAUAGCAAAUGCAACUUGUCCAGUCUCUGCUGAGGUUGAAUGAGGUCUUCUUAUUCCAGGUCUCAUAUUUACAAUACACUUUACGCUAUGACAAGGAGAUGGGGAAGAAGAGCCAUCACCUUCCAACCAAUGCUGUUUGCUUUCCUGCUGGAGAUGACCAUCUUUCUCUGAAUCAAGUGUACAAUUCAGCUUGGAUUUCCUAAGUUGGAAAGGAGAAUUUGUAGCUAAACCAAAAAUAUUCCUGCACUGUUAUUAGUUGGCUUAUUUCCACCAAAUGUUUUU
This 402-nucleotide long non-coding RNA is filed under the name Heterocephalus glaber (naked mole-rat). Its description in RNAcentral is "lncRNA (ENSHGLG00100032792.1)". The record is from RNAcentral. Lineage: Eukaryota; Metazoa; Chordata; Mammalia; Rodentia; Bathyergidae.